CUCACAUUUACCCUGACAAAUCCAUGCUGAUUAGCUGCCAGAGGGAUGCUCUGUGGUUCUUUAUGAAAAUAAAUUGUUGGAGAGGUGCUGCAGUUAUGCCUUUUGCCCACCAGGAGCUGCCGUGGUGCCAGAAAAGAGGGCAGAUGGCUCACUGGCAGUAGCAGUCAGCAGCUGAUGAAGAGGAGGAGAGGCUGCAUUCCUCACAGUGGCCUUCCUGCAUGAUCAGGAACCUAUAUUAGAGGAGAGGACUAAGAGAAGGCUCCCCACCCUCAAGAGAACAAGGAAAUGGGACAACUGGCUUACGUCACCUACAUGGGAAUGAUGGGACAGCUCUACCCAGCAAUGUAUGGGCCCAUUCUGAAGUAUUUGGAUCUUACACACAGGACACAUAAUACAUUUUCAAGCACCUCAUGAUGAGCACUUUAUAAUGAAGGCAGCUUUGAACCCCUCCCUGCAGUGGAAUAAAAUUGAUCAGGGACUAUGGCUGGAAGGCAUUGUGCGGGGGAGCUGUUAAGAGGCAGGUUGACAGAGUCUGAGCACUGGCCCUAUGGAGUCUUGGUUACUAGAUGUAGCAUCCAUGGCCAAGAGAUUGCUUGUACCACUCACCUUUUUGACUUACACAAUGGUGUUUCAAGAGUUUCAGACAUUCAAGGGAAUCUGUGGGACAGCCCAGGGCCUGGCCUAUAUCAGAAUCCCAAAUUUGGCAGUUUAUGGUCUCACUACAUAGGCGGGGGCUGGUGCCACCAACUAUAGCUAAUGGUUAGCUGGGGUGUCCUUGUUCUGCAGGUCAUCCAGACCCCUGUUGGGAAUUCAUGGCCUGUAGGAUGCUGAAAGGUUGGGCCUGAGCUGCUGGGGACACAGAGCAAUGUCAGGAAGCCAGUAACCCUACACAUCCUUAGACAGUUAGCCAGGAUUCUUCCGUGGAGCUGCCAUUCGAUGUGCACUGGGAAGGUGACUCCACAGCUCAUGCUCCAUAGCGCAGAGAUGAAAGGGGGAGCGGUGGCUCUGUGCUGCUCUGUAUAGGGAACUGCAACAGUGACUACCCAGUUAGAUCUGGGUGUGUCUGAGAUCCAGGCUACAGUAUGUUAGUGAUUCAGGGCUUAUAAGUCCUACGUGCAGCUACCUGCAGGGAAACCAAUGCAGAGUGUGGGCCAUAUGUGCCACAGGUUCUAACCAUGUCUGCUUCCUUCUCUAUGCCGAUCACACUGAAUAUAUUGCAGCAUGCUCACAGCUGAGGACAUGGAUUCGCAGGCACAGCAUUGUGCACUGGGCUUACAAAACAGCGUGUAAUUUGGUGAAAGGCUUGCAGCUGGGCUUUGGGAGGGAUGCGACUUUGUCUUGGUACUGCAGACAGGGCACACACUGGGACCAGCUCAUGCCCUUCUUGCAUGGGCUGGCACCCAGGAAGACACAAUGGACAUCAUCAUUAGCCACCUAGGGUAGAACAACCUUGGAAUGUGCUCCAGUCUUGAACUGAUUUUGAAGGCUAACCAGGAUAUUGGACUGCUGGCAAACAUGUUUUCUGGUGUGGGACUAAUAUGGUCAGAGAUGCUGGCCCACAGGGUUUAGCAGAUUGCCACAUAAGGUAGCUAGGGCAUGGAGGAAGGCCAGCCAGAGAAUGGCAAUGUGGCUGGAGUCCUCGGUUAUCAGACAUGGCUGCCCCCUUGUGGCAGGAACCCACUGCAGGAACUUGGUGAUUUAGGCUCCAGCUCCAUAAAGAUGAUCAUCCUGAGGGCACCACAUUAUGAGAUGGGGACAUCGUUUCUAACCCUUGUGGGCAAAACCAAACCAGGGGCCUGGGCACUACCCUGGGGGGACUGUCUUACCAAUACACUUGAUGCUGGUGCUGGCUGGAGGUUGAGGUCAAUCACCAAAAAGG
Molecule: long non-coding RNA, 1879 nt
Organism: Mauremys mutica (yellowpond turtle)
Lineage: Eukaryota; Metazoa; Chordata; Testudines; Geoemydidae
Exons: 3
Source: RefSeq, a predicted model, not a curated record